CCUACGGGCGGCAGCAGUAGGGAAUAUUGCUCAAUGGGCGAAACCCUGAAGCAGCAACGCCGCGUGGAGGAUGAAGGUUUUCGGAUUGUAAACUCCUUUUGUUAGAGAAGAUAAUGACGGUAUCUAACGAAUAAGCACCGUCUAACUCCGUGCCAGCAGCCGCGGUAAUACGGAGGGUGCAAGCGUUACGCGGAAUCACUGGGCGUAAAGGGCGCGUAGGCGGGUUAGCAAGUCAGAUGUGAAAUCCUAUGGCUUAACCAUAGAACUGCUUUUGAAACUGGUAUUCUAGAGUAUGGGAGAGGUAGGUGGAAUUCUUGGUGUAGGGGUAAAAUCCGUAGAGAUCAAGAGGAAUACUCAUUGCGAAGGCGACCUGCUAGAACAUAACUGACGCUGAUGCGCGAAAGCGUGGGGAGCAAACAGGAUUAGAUACCCGAGUAGUC
RNAcentral lists this ribosomal RNA (440 nucleotides) under uncultured bacterium. RNAcentral describes it as "partial 16S ribosomal RNA". It matches the Rfam family "Bacterial small subunit ribosomal RNA", at positions 338 to 795 of the family's 1533-position model. The record is from RNAcentral.